RNAcentral lists this ribosomal RNA (208 nucleotides) under uncultured Acidobacteriota bacterium. RNAcentral describes it as "uncultured Acidobacteria bacterium partial 16S ribosomal RNA". It matches the Rfam family "Bacterial small subunit ribosomal RNA", at positions 568 to 775 of the family's 1533-position model. The record is from RNAcentral. Lineage: Bacteria; Pseudomonadati; Acidobacteriota.
CGCGCAGGUGGCAUGGCAAGUGGCAGGCGAAAGCCCUCGGCUCAACCGAGGAACUACCUGUCAGACUGCUGUGCUUGAGGCUGGGAGGGGAGAGCGGAAUUCCUGGUGUAGCGGUGAAAUGCGUAGAUACCAGGAGGAACACCGGUGGCGAAGGCGGCUCUCUGGACCAGCUCUGACGCUCAUGCGCGAAAGCGUGGGGAGCAAACAG